Molecule: ribosomal RNA, 428 nt
Filed under: uncultured archaeon
Lineage: Archaea
Description: bacterial SSU rRNA
Rfam family: Archaeal small subunit ribosomal RNA
Source: RNAcentral
UACCAGCUCUCCGAGUGGUAGGGAUGAUUAUUGGGCUUAAAGCGUCCGUAGCCGGCUUAGCAAGUCUCCUGUUAAAUUCAGCGACCAAAUCGUUGAGCCGCGGGAGAUACUAUUAGGCUAGGAGGCGGGAGAGGUCGACGGUACUUCUGGGGUAGGGGUGAAAUCCUAUAAUCCCGGGAGGACCACCAGUGGCGAAGGCUGUCGACUAGAACGCGCUCGACGGUGAGGGACGAAAGCUGGGGGAGCGAACCGGAUUAGAUACCCGGGUAGUCCCAGCUGUAAACGAUGCGGGCUAGGUGUUGGGGUGGCUACGUGCCACUUCAGUGCCGCAGGGAAGCCAUUAAGCCCGCCGCCUGGGGAGUACGGCCGCAAGGCUGAAACUUAAGGAAUUGGCGGGGGAGCACCACAAGGCGUGAAGCUUGCGGUUC